This 63-nucleotide transfer RNA is filed under the name Myotis brandtii (Brandt's bat). It matches the Rfam family "tRNA". Rfam says of the family: Transfer RNA (tRNA) molecules are approximately 80 nucleotides in length. Their secondary structure includes four short double-helical elements and three loops (D, anti-codon, and T loops). The record is from Rfam by way of RNAcentral. Lineage: Eukaryota; Metazoa; Chordata; Mammalia; Chiroptera; Vespertilionidae.
GCCAGUGUGGCUCAGUGGAUAGAGCAUUGUGAAGGGUCCCGGGUUCAAUUCCCGGUCGGGGCA